UUGGUCAAUGGCCGAGAGGCUGAACCAGCCAAGUCGCGUGAAGGAUGAAGGAUCUAUGGUUUGUAAACUUCUUUUAUAGGGGAAUAAAGUGUGGAACGUGUUCCAUUUUGUAUGUACCCUAUGAAUAAGCAUCGGCUAACUCCGUGCCAGCAGCCGCGGUAAUACGGAGGAUGCGAGCGUUAUCCGGAUUUAUUGGGUUUAAAGGGUGCGUAGGUGGUAAUUUAAGUCAGCGGUGAAAGUUUGUGGCUCAACCAUAAAAUUGCCGUUGAAACUGGGUUACUUGAGUGUGUUUGAGGUAGGCGGAAUGCGUGGUGUAGCGGUGAAAUGCAUAGAUAUCACGCAGAACUCCAAUUGCGAAGGCAGCUUACUAAACCAUAACUGACACUGAAGCACGAAAGCGUGGGUAUCAAACAGGAUUAGAUACCCUGGUAGUCCACGCAGUAAACGAUGAUUACUAGGAGUUUGCGAUACACAGUAAGCUCUACAGCGAAAGCGUUAAGUAAUCCACCUGGGGAGUACGCCGGCAACGGUGAAACUCAAAGGAAUUGACGGGGGCCCGCACAAGCGGAGGAACAUGUGGUUUAAUUCGAUGAUACGCGAGGAACCUUACCCGGGUUUGAACGUAGUCAGACCGGCCUUGAAAGAGGUCUUCUAGCAAUAGCUGAUUACGAGGUGCUGCAUGGUUGUCGUCAGCUCGUGCCGUGAGGUGUCGGCUUAAGUGCCAUAACGAGCGCAACCCUUAUCACUAGUUACUAACAGGUUAAGCUGAGGACUCUGGUGAGACUGCCAGCGUAAGCUGUGAGGAAGGUGGGGAUGACGUCAAAUCAGCACGGCCCUUACAUCCGGGGCGACACACGUGUUACAAUGGCAUGGACAAAGGGCAGCUACCUGGCGACAGGAUGCUAAUCUCUAAACCAUGUCUCAGUUCGGAUCGGAGUCUGCAACUCGACUCCGUGAAGCUGGAUUCGCUAGUAAUCGCGCAUCAGCCAUGGCGCGGUGAAUACGUUCCCGGGCCUUGUACACACCGCCCGUCAAGCCAUGGGAGCCGGGGGUACCUGAAGUCCGUAACCGCAAGGAUCGGCCUAGGGUAAAACUGGUGACUGGGGCUAAGUCGUAACAAGGUAGCCGUACCGGAAGGUGCGGCUG
RNAcentral lists this ribosomal RNA (1146 nucleotides) under human gut metagenome. RNAcentral's name for it is "bacterial SSU rRNA". It matches the Rfam family "Bacterial small subunit ribosomal RNA", at positions 364 to 1520 of the family's 1533-position model. The record is from RNAcentral.